AUGGGGCCGGUUGAUAUCUUGAAAUUUCUUAAACGGCUAGAUUGUUUCCCUAAUGCAACUAUUGCAUAUAGAAUUUUGUUAACUAUUCCAGUAACCGUCGCAUCAGCUGAGAGAAGUUUCUCCAAAUUGAAAUUAUUGAAGUCCUAUCUACGUUCAACAAUGACACAAGAAAGGCUCAGUGGGUUGGCUACUAUAGCAAUUGAAAAUGAUAUACUGGAGGGGGUUGCUUAUGAAGAUCUAAUUGAAGAUUUUGUAUCAAGAAAUGCUCAAAGGAUGGCACGCUUUGGCUAA
This 291-nucleotide ribosomal RNA is filed under the name Triticum aestivum (bread wheat). RNAcentral describes it as "partial small subunit ribosomal RNA". Lineage: Eukaryota; Viridiplantae; Streptophyta; Magnoliopsida; Poales; Poaceae. The record is from RNAcentral.